AAUGGAACAAGUAGAUGACAAAGCACAACAUAACCCUUUUGUUGCUCAUCUUUUUGUAGAUAUGCAGGCUUUUAAAGCACCCUGCUUACCUGUUCCCUCUUACUACAUUUAAAUUAUUUAAUUAUUCAAUUCUUUACCAUGAAUUAAUAAAUAAAGUGGGGCAAUCAACAAAUUAAUGUAUUUUUGGGGCACCCUACCCUCUUGGAGCCCAAUUGGGCAUCCUUUCCUUGUCUGGUGCAUAUUGUUUGCUUCCAAACCUGUCUCUAAGUGUCUACAAAAAAACAGCAAUCUCUGGUCAUUAAUUGUUUUUACCUUUUGGGAAAAUUUUGAGAAUUAUAAUUAGCUUUAAAUUGGAAAUUUUCUAAAGGUAGUGGGGGUAGUUUCGAUCGGAACUAGAAUGCUACUCCUGAUUCGUAUGCC
This 420-nucleotide long non-coding RNA is filed under the name Durio zibethinus. RNAcentral's name for it is "long non-coding RNA (DZIB_LNC001877)". Lineage: Eukaryota; Viridiplantae; Streptophyta; Magnoliopsida; Malvales; Malvaceae. The record is from RNAcentral.